Molecule: long non-coding RNA, 202 nt
Filed under: Gossypium barbadense (sea-island cotton)
Lineage: Eukaryota; Viridiplantae; Streptophyta; Magnoliopsida; Malvales; Malvaceae
Description: long non-coding RNA (GBAR_LNC011575)
Source: RNAcentral
GAGGACAAGAAGAAUUCCUUGAUCAACAGAGCCACCACUAAAAAUACCUUUAACCUAGUUACAUAUCGCCUCUCCUAUAUUAUCCCAUUUAUUCUUAAAGAAAUAGGCAUGGAAACCAUCACUACCUAGAGCUCUUAAAGGAGACAUGUCAAACAGAGCUUUCUUAAUUUCCUUAUUUGAUAUUGCACUCCCUAAAAAUUCC